UCGAAACCUGCCCAGCAGNGCGACCCGCGAACAAGUGAAAAACAAACCCGGACGGACCGAAGAGGGGCGCAUGCCCCGAUCGCUCGCCCGUCGGACCACGGCCUCUUCUGCGACCGCACUGAUCUGCGGGCGGAGGGGUGGGUUGUUGUGUCCGCACAAAACCAAAAACCGGCGCGACAGGCGCCAAGGAAAUCUUAGCGGAAAAGGAGGGUUGCCCCGUCCGCGGAGGCAGCCUUCAAAAUCCGAUACU
This 250-nucleotide unclassified non-coding RNA is filed under the name Aconitum decipiens. The record is from RNAcentral. Lineage: Eukaryota; Viridiplantae; Streptophyta; Magnoliopsida; Ranunculales; Ranunculaceae.